AUUGAACGCUGGCGGCAUGCUUUACACAUGCAAGUCGAACGGUAACAGCACUUCGGUGGCUGACGAGUGGCGAACGGGUGAGUAAUACAUCGGAACGUGCCUAGUAGUUGGGGAUAACUACUCGAAAGAGUAGCUAAUACCGCAUGAGAUCUAAGGAUGAAAGCAGGGGACCUUCGUGCCUUGCGCUACUAGAGCGGCUGAUGGCAGAUUAGGUAGUUGGUGGGAUAAAAGCUUACCAAGCCGACGAUCUGUAGCUGGUCUGAGAGGACGACCAGCCACACUGGGACUGAGACACGGCCCAGACUCCUACGGGAGGCAGCAGUGGGGAAUUUUGGAAAAUGGGCGCAAGACUGAUCCAGCAAUGCCGCGUGCAGGAUGAAGGCCUUCGGGUUGUAAACUGCUUUUGUACGGAACGAAAAGCCCUCUUCUAAUACAGGAGGGUCAUGACGGUACCGUAAGAAUAAGCACCGGCUAACUACGU
This 481-nucleotide ribosomal RNA is filed under the name uncultured bacterium. RNAcentral's name for it is "partial 16S ribosomal RNA". It matches the Rfam family "Bacterial small subunit ribosomal RNA", at positions 30 to 506 of the family's 1533-position model. The record is from RNAcentral.